AGUGAACGUUGGCGGUAGGCCUAACACAUGCAAGUCGAACGGCAGCACAGUAAGAGCUUGCUCUUACGGGUGGCGAGUGGCGGACGGGUGAGGAAUACAUCGGAAUCUACUUUUUCGCGGGGGAUAACGUAGGGAAACUUACGCUAAUACCGCAUACGACCUACGGGUGAAAGCAGGGGAUCUUCGGACCUUGCGCGAUUGAAUGAGCCGAUGUCGGAUUAGCUAGUUGGCGGGGUAAAGGCCCACCAAGGCGACGAUCCGUAGCUGGUCUGAGAGGAUGAUCAGCCACACUGGAACUGAGACACGGUCCAGACUCCUACGGGAGGCAGCAGUGGGGAAUAUUGGACAAUGGGCGCAAGCCUGAUCCAGCCAUACCGCGUGGGUGAAGAAGGCCUUCGGGUUGUAAAGCCCUUUUGUUGGGAAAGAAAAGCAGCAGGUUAAUACCCCGCUGUUCUGACGGUACCCAAAGAAUAAGCACCGGCUAACUUCGUG
Molecule: ribosomal RNA, 492 nt
Filed under: uncultured bacterium
Lineage: Bacteria
Description: partial 16S ribosomal RNA
Rfam family: Bacterial small subunit ribosomal RNA
Source: RNAcentral